ACUUCUCAUUUUUCGUUUGUGCACUUUGAGGAACCGAAAGGUUCCAUUUUGUUUCUGAAAUUUUUGUUCGGUAGCAGAACAAAAUUGUUUAUAUUGUUGAAAAAAAUGUUUAUUUUAUUGAAAUUAAAGACACUUUAGCGUCUUUAAUUGAAAAAACUAAUAGUAGUGCGUUCUUCAAAGCCCUUUGUGGUAUUUUCUGAAAAAUGGAUCGAGAUCGUAUAUUUGCGUCGGAUCCGGUUUUACACCAAUUCUUCCACCCGAGAAAAAGGAAUCCGCAGACAAUAGUGCACAUGAGAAUUUGUAGCGCAUCAGCUAUUCCCGUUCAGGCGACUUAAAACCGUAAAACUACGCACAAGCUUCCGGACAAGGAUUCAGAAUUGGAGGAAGGUAAACCAGACACUGAUGAUGAUCCACUACCUGCCAAACAACCUGUGGUCGCCCAAAAACCCAGUAACUCAGGAAGAGGUCGUAGAUGACGGUGAAACGCAAGAAACCGACAACAGUAAACUGACGAUGGAAAGCGGAUACAUCCUAGGCGGCCGUAACGUUCAUUGGGCUGACAAUCCCGCGACAAGCUCGUUGAUGGUACGUGGGCUAUAUUUCGUUCGAUGUCACCCAGCAGUUUAACGAGUACCCGCCCGGUUCUGGCCUGUCAAAUCGAUCUGAAGCAAUGGCAUUCGAUAACAUCAACUUCAAGGGGCAAAGUUUGAAGAUUAGACCGCACGAUUACCAGCUCAUCUCUGCAGGGAUGUCAUGGCAUGACCCACUCCGCUCUGUCAGCCUUACCACCAUCGUUCUGGAUGUUCCGCUAUUCAGCUGCUGUCUGCUAGCCAGGCGUUGUUCGAACCGCUUCUCAUCGCAGAACAGAACCAAUCGGGUUUUAUGAGGUCGAGGCAAGGACAUCAAUCAACAUAUUUGCGUUUUUGGCAUGGCACUCAAACUGAGAACCAGCGGUUAUUAUUUGACCGCUGUGCCAGUGGAAUGCAACGGCACUUGCAUCUGAAGUUUGAAAGACUAUCGACUUUUGUGCUGUGAUCUGCGUGUUUCAAGUGAGAAGAUGCUCACAUGUCACCAUGCCAUUUCACCGGAUCGGCUUCCGUGUUUACGAUUACUCGCGAACCCCCGGCCAUCCCAGGUAAUUGCCGCGGAUAGACCGGACAGUGCAACGAAUCAUACGGACUGAUACUAGCGGCUCCUAUUAAAUCGACGUGCAAUGCCACCGGUCUAUGAGUGAUGGUCACCGGCAGUGAAUCCAAUCUAAAAAUCUGCUGUAUUGGAAUAACCCGAUCUGUGGACAUAAAAUAAAUUUUCUUUAGGAACUGUGAAAUAGAUAACAAAAAAUAAGAAUAAA
Long non-coding RNA from Armigeres subalbatus, 1351 nucleotides. RefSeq lists it as uncharacterized. The record is from RefSeq and is a predicted model, not a curated record. The transcript is spliced from 4 exons. NCBI's taxonomy places the organism in Eukaryota, Metazoa, Arthropoda, Insecta, Diptera, Culicidae.